Molecule: ribosomal RNA, 360 nt
Filed under: Bradyrhizobium sp. 11LoS10_1
Lineage: Bacteria; Pseudomonadati; Pseudomonadota; Alphaproteobacteria; Hyphomicrobiales; Nitrobacteraceae
Also listed under: 3 other names
Description: bacterial LSU rRNA
Rfam family: Bacterial large subunit ribosomal RNA
Source: RNAcentral
AGCAAUCAAGUGCCUUAAGGGUGUUCGGUGGAUGCCUUGGCGCUGAGAGGCGAUGAAGGACGUGCUACGCUGCGAUAAGCCGUGGGGAGCUGCGAAGAAGCUUUGAUCCGCGGAUUUCCGAAUGGGGAAACCCACCUUCGAUAGCCGGAACUCCAAGACCUUAGGUUUUGGGGUUUGACCAGAAAUGAUCGGGACCAUGACCGCAAGGUUUUGGAUUUCCGGUUAUCAAGAGAAGGUAUGAGACUUCUGAAUACAUAGGAGGUUUCAAGCGAACCCAGGGAACUGAAACAUCUAAGUACCUGGAGGAAAGGACAUCAACAGAGACUCCGUUAGUAGUGGCGAGCGAACGCGGACCAGGCC